CCUCAUGGGGCAAGAGGAUAGGCUAGGGAGCUAGGAAAAGGACCACCAUUGGUGCCAGCCAGCCUUCGUCCUUGGACCAGAAUCCGAUUCCAGCAACCUCGACAACGCAAAAGCAACGCGUCAAUCCGAAUCCUCUUGACCCCACCUGCCACCAUGUGCCCCUCUCCCCUCGCAAACUUCUAUUUCUACUUACGCUUCUCUACCUUUGCCGGAGGAUGAACCCUUGCACUCCACCUUCCUCUCCGGCGAGACGAAAGCCGACGGCGCCACCACCGGCUAUUGAGCAUUGGGAUUCAUGAGCGACAAGUUCUACUGCAUGACCCUUAGGAUGAACAUCGACUGCAACGGGUGCUACCAGAGGAUCAGGAGAGCUCUCCUCCACAUGCAAGACCUGGAGAGCCACCUGAUCGACCGGAAGCAGCACCGGUUGAGCGUCUGCGGCGCCUUCGUGCCGCAGGACGUCGCCAUUAAGCUCCGGAAGAGGACAAACCGCCGCGUCGAGAUACUCGAGAUCAAGGAGGUCGACGCCGGAGCCGACCCAGCGGCGCCGAGCGGCGGCAGCCACCAGCCCUGAAGGAGUCCCGCAGGACAACCUUCCAGACCGUGUUGGCGUUGCCUGAUCAAACUUCAGCUCUCAUGACUUGAAGACGUCAGUCCUGAGAAGUCGAAGCAAAGCUGAGCUGCUGGUUCUGAAUCAUGGAUGAUGAUGAAGAUAUUUUUCUAAUAAUGAAUCUGUUCAUAGCAAUGAAGAAAGUGAGGUUGAGCUGAAUUCUAAAGAAGAUAACUUAGAGAUAAGUGCCAAUAGCAAGUUGACUAUCUUUAUUUCCUUCAAUUUGGGUCUCAAAUGCAAGCAAUUCCUCCUACUCUACCAAGAAGAAGAGUUUGGAAAGGUUCAAUAAUCAAGAAAUGCAGCUCUUAUGAUCAUGUUUCUCAGAAUACUUUUGGAAAGCGUCCAGUAAUCCCUCAAUACAAGAUUUGGGUACUUACCAGAUAAUGUAAGCUAGCAUUACCUUUGUCAUUUUCAGUUUUGCUAAAUUCGAGAUAUGAUUAUUCUUAAUACUUACUGUUGUAGUAGUUUACAAAAAUAAGUAUUAAAUUGCAUGUUUGCCUUUUAAUAAUUGCUAUUAUUGUUAUGUGCAAAUCUAUUAUAUUAAGUGUGCAAUUUUAUUUUUUUGUUUCCUAUCUUUUUGAACUCUAUAUUUCUAGAUAUUCUUAAGUACUUGUUUCAUACAAUAUUUUAUUCUGUUUUUAGGUGAGAGAUGAUUUAUGUGGGUUGUACGAAGGUUUUUGUGAUAAUGUGUUUCAUCCCUCAUACCAUGGUCCUGAUCAACUUGUUUUUGCUAUGUUCCAGUACCUUCAUGAUUCUAGUGUUAAUGUACCUUCUAACUCUAAACAUGUUCCUGAUAAUUUCAAUAAUUGGCAUUCAAAUAUUAAUGAUGAUGCUAAUUAGAAUGAGAAUUUGCCAAAUGAUAAUUUGAACAAAGAUGUAGUGCAAGAGCAAGAAGCAACAGCUACUGAAGUGCUUUCAUCUAAUGACACAUAUGCUCAAUCUGAUGCUAAUAAUGUUGCUUCUCAAGCUACUGUCAUAAUUCCUUAAGAUAACACUACAUCUAAAGGUAUCUGUUUCAGUUCAUUUGUUUCUUGUUUACAACUCUUUGAAAUCAAUUUACUAAUCUUUAUUUUUUUAUAUAACUUAUUUAGAUUUAGGUAAAGUUUCUAUUCCAAAAAAGAAUAGUAAAAGGCAAUGUUUGAGUCCUCAGUCUUCAGAAUUUGUUGCUUCUAGAACUCAACAUCGACUUUCUCAAAGACUUGGGAAAUCACCUUUGAGCCAGCCUGUCAAUAAGAUUUCUAAGAAGACUAAGAUUAAACAAAGUUGUGCGGCUCCUGUUGCAAAUAAGUCUGGAUGUGAUGAAAUUUGUGAAAUGUCUAAGUCUGUAUCUGCCAAAAAUAACAUGUCUUCUACUUUGAGAAAUGAGAUUGCCCAUGAUUCUCCAAUUGCAAAUGUUCAUGUUAUUGAUAACGUUGAAGUCUGUAUCUGCCAGAAAUGACAUGUCUGUAUCACAAAUGUUGUUUUCAUGUUAGCUAUUAUAUGUGUAUUCUUAUUUAAUUUUUUAAUCUUCAUGAUAAUGAUAAGGUUGAAGUAGCAGCAUAUGAGAUUGAUGU
RNA transcript from Phragmites australis (common reed), 2163 nucleotides. It is a transcript of the gene named heavy metal-associated isoprenylated plant protein 26-like, with no coding region annotated. Lineage: Eukaryota; Viridiplantae; Streptophyta; Magnoliopsida; Poales; Poaceae. The transcript is spliced from 7 exons. The record is from RefSeq and is a predicted model, not a curated record.